Botryobasidium botryosum FD-172 SS1 is the source of this 77-nucleotide transfer RNA. It matches the Rfam family "tRNA". From Rfam's summary of the family: Transfer RNA (tRNA) molecules are approximately 80 nucleotides in length. Their secondary structure includes four short double-helical elements and three loops (D, anti-codon, and T loops). NCBI's taxonomy places the organism in Eukaryota, Fungi, Basidiomycota, Agaricomycetes, Cantharellales, Botryobasidiaceae. The record is from Rfam.
GCCGCCUUAGAUCAGUGGUAGAUCGUUUGUCUUGUAUUGACAACAAAAGGUCGCUAGUUCAAACCUGGCAGGCGGCA